GACGAACGCUGGCGGCGUGCUUAACACAUGCAAGUCGAACGGAAAGGCCCUGCUUUUGUGGGGUGCUCGAGUGGCGAACGGUUGAGUAACACGUGAGUAACCUGCCCUUGACUUUGGGAUAACUUCAGGAAACUGGGGCUAAUACCGGAUAGGAGCUCCUGCUGCAUGGUGGGGGUUGGAAAGUUUCGGCGGUUGGGGAUGGACUCGCGGCUUAUCAGCUUGUUGGUGGGGUAGUGGCUUACCAAGGCUUUGACGGGUAGCCGGCCUGAGAGGGUGACCGGCCACAUUGGGACUGAGAUACGGCCCAGACUCCUACGGGAGGCAGCAGUGGGGAAUAUUGCACAAUGGGCGGAAGCCUGAUGCAGCAACGCCGCGUGCGGGAUGACGGCCUUCGGGUUGUAAACCGCUUUCGCCUGUGACGAAGCGUGAGUGACGGUAAUGUGUAAAGAAGCACCGGCUAACUACGUG
Molecule: ribosomal RNA, 468 nt
Filed under: uncultured bacterium
Lineage: Bacteria
Description: partial 16S ribosomal RNA
Rfam family: Bacterial small subunit ribosomal RNA
Source: RNAcentral